AAGGGUUGCAGAUGGCAGAGAACCAGUGCCCAGGGUUCAGCUACCCAGAAUGCUGUCUCUGGUGGAUGGAGGCUACAGCACCCACCUGCUAGGUCUGAAUCAGGGGUUAAGAGGAACAUCAUGCCCAGAGUGCCCGGACGCAAGCCAGGCCCACAGAAGGAGCUCGAUCAACAGUAGGGAGAAUUCAAUCAGGUCGAAUCUGAGUCCCUCAAGCUGCAACUUGAGUUAAUAUUCUUUUGUCUCCUUUUCGGAAGAGAUUGAGAAUCACGCGGUCCCCUUCUGGUAUUUCUUAAGGAGCAUGAGGACUUUAACCUUCUCCUCUCCAGGCUGUGGAGCAGAGAGAACGAUCGUGCUCGGUUGGUCCUGGUCCUGCUUCUGAGGUCCAGACCUUAGAGACCAGGGGCCCUGUGUGGCCCAGACGCAAGGAAGAGAGUCUGCCUCGGGGGCAGGGACCAGGACCCAGGUCCUCAGAUUGUCUGAAUCUGGUUCCCAUAAUCCUAUCUCCUGUACCCAGGCAUUCUGGGCCACAGCCUUUUCUG
Long non-coding RNA from Symphalangus syndactylus (siamang), 539 nucleotides. RefSeq lists it as uncharacterized. Lineage: Eukaryota; Metazoa; Chordata; Mammalia; Primates; Hylobatidae. The record is from RefSeq and is a predicted model, not a curated record.